UUUGAAAAGAUCUGAAGAUACGCCCCUUGGAUGCCUGCAGAGAAGCUCUGGGGCUUCAGUCAAUGACUCAGGGUAGCCACCGAACAUGAUGCUCGGGCAGUGGGUGCCACCUGGACUCCACUCUCCCCUCUCUCUGGGAUCAUAGAGUCCAAGGUGUUCUGUGGCCUCUCGGCCAAUCCCAGCAGCUCAGCGUGCAGAAGACCGAGGAGCCAUUGGAAAAGAAAAAGAGAACAUAUAUCCCCCUACCUUUUGAUUUCCAACAGUCUACUGAGAGGCCAAGAUUAUUUGCAGGGAAAGAAAAGGGGUCAAAAUGUUUUGCCAGUAACUCCCAAAUCAUCUACAGCCAAGGAGAAAAGUGUUUCAAGACAGAGGUGCUCAAUGGUAUCAAAUACUGCCAACAGACCAAGUAAUACAUGCAUUGAAGUGUCUACUGGAUCUAGCUAUAUGAAUUUUUAAUUUAGGACACUUAGGCCAUACUGAAGCAAGGUGACAAAAUGAAUAGCUACAAUGUCUCGUGAAUCUUGGGUUUCCAUUCACCCUGGUAUUCAAGAGAAAUUCUUGCAUCAUGGAAGUUGCAGUUGGAUAGGACUUUCUCAGCUGAACACUGUCAUCUGCCAGAGCUUCAGGCAAGAACCCAGAACAGAUGAAACCCCAGACAUGACAAAAUAAGCCAAAGAAUACCAGGCCAAGGUGUGAAAGGCCAGAUGAGAACAAGCAGCGUACACGAUUCUGUUGCCAACAGAUCUCCCCUAACAGUGUCGUGCACCAAAUUUCCACAGUGAAUGUCAGGAAAAAAUGGCAAUUGAGCAGGGAAUGUCACCAGGAUAAGACAACUGCAAAACCCAUUUGGGUGUGCCAAAUGACUUCAACCGAACCUCCAUGCAAACAACAUACAAGAUGCUUUCUUACUAAAUGCUCAAACAUCAAGUUCUACAUCCAGAACUGCCCCUCAACCCUCACCCUCUCGAACUCAGUAAAAAACAACCCUCUUUCUAGCUCUGCAUUUCCAAUGAAUGCCUCUUCCUCCAGACAUCCCUAGUUUUUGUUCAUGAUACUAGGACAUUCCUAAACUGGAAAUGUGAGAAUCAUGUGGACUGCUCGCUCCCUCCUUCAUUGCCUGAGUUUAAGCAAAUAAUAUUGAUUAGUUUUCCCCAA
Homo sapiens (human) is the source of this 1155-nucleotide long non-coding RNA. Ensembl annotates it as long intergenic non-protein coding RNA 710. NCBI's taxonomy places the organism in Eukaryota, Metazoa, Chordata, Mammalia, Primates, Hominidae. The record is from Ensembl.